AAAAGUGUGAGUGUGAAUGCAAGAAAUCAUUUUUGUAGAAAGGUGUGAGUGUGAAUGCAAGAAAAUCGGAAAAGUGGGUGGUGAGAUUUUUCCUAAGCUCUACACGUAUCCACCCCAAAUUUUCCACAUCUCUUAUCUCUUUUGCUGCCCCAAAAGUCUCCUCCUUGCCUUAUUUUCUUGGCUACAUCAGAUCAAAAUUCCAGCCCCUCUUUCCCUAUUCUUUUCCUUGUUCUUUGUUUCUUUCUUCUCCCCUUCUUACAUGGCAGCCCUCCCUCUCUCACCAAAGCAAAAUAUCUCUCUCUAAAGAAGAAAUUAAAGAGUUAACACUAAAAUUUCAGCUUCAAAUUGUUGGGGGUGUUACCAGUAUCCAAGUCUAAGCUCUUUCAACUUUAGGCUCUCGGUUCCUCUGCUUUCAGGUAAGAGAUAAGUUAUAUGAGCAUUUGGUAAGUCAUGAGGUUAUUUUAAAGUAUAUUAUGCAUUAAAAUUUUUUUGAUUAGAGAUAUGGCAUGUAAUCAUUAUUCUGACAAAGAUAUGUUCGUGAGCUUUCGAAAAACUUAUGUAUAUGAUUUAAGCAUAUUGAUGCCAUUACUAAUUUCCACAAACAUGAUGUUUAAUGAAAAUAAUGGAAAUGCUAUUAUUAUGAGAUGUUAUGCAAAAUAAGAAAUUUCAGUAUAAUGUAAAGUACGAAAUGUUUUCGGGUUAUGUCCUCUGGUGAUCUGAACUCUACUAGUAAGGGUUAAUUACUAACUUUCCAUGGAAAACGUUAUAUGAUUGGCCAUUAUAAGUGGGACUAGCUCUGCUGUACCUGCCCCUUGUUGGUUAUGGCCAACUUGUGGGGGAAGCCAACCUACCCCCAAUGGUUGGAAGAUAUGUAUUAUGAUGUAAUCCCGGGAAUACCUGGCAUUGUGGAGAAUAUUGGAUGCCUAGCACCGUAGUGCUAGAAGCCUCCCAAAUAAGUACAGACUUAUCAGAUAUGGGCUAACCAAUAAGUUAUUUAUGAACAGCUAUAUUAUGUUAUUAAUCAUGAGAGAAUGAUUUUGUUAAAUGCAUUGUGAAAAGUUAAAAGCUCUCAUGAAAAUAAUUCUAAUGAAAAGAAAGCUGUUCGUUAAAGAUAAAAGUUUUUAAAGUUCUGUUGUGCUAUAAAGAUAAAGUUUCUGAUGAAAGUACAAGUUUAUGUUUAAAAGUUAUUAGAUAUCUGUUUUUAUGAAACGUUAAGUUUUAUGACCAUGAAAGUUAUAGUAUUCUAUGAGAAGAAGUUUAUAAAGAAAAGUUUUCUUAUUAGUCAAGAUGUUUCUAGUUUAAUACAAAGUUGCCGAUUAUCUGAUUUAAGUUAAAAUAAUUAUUUUGUAAUGAGAAUAUAUAUAUAUGGUGACUUUGUAGGAAAUGAAAGAAGUUUAAUCCGAAAGGUUUUGAUAAUAUUAAACUGAUAAGAAAAAGGAGAACAAUUAUUUUCUAUGAAGAGCGUAUAAGCUAUUAUUAUGAAUAGUAUAAAAUACUAUGCAUGAAAAGAUGUUCUCCUGUUCGAAUAUUCAUAGAAUGAAAUGAUUUGAUUUACAUGCAUCCUUAUUAAAUUCUCAUAUAUCUUACCUUUACUGAGCUGUGUAGCUCACUCCUUCCACUCUUUCAGUUAGCAGGUUUUAUUUUGGAGCAAAGAGAGCAUUAGUCGAGUUUUGGAAGGAGCUGGUUUUAGUUUUAUAUCUAUAGAUUCUAAUUUAGCAAUUUGAUGUUUAGCUUUGUAGUAUUGUGUAUUUUAGGAUCUAAGGAAAGUUGUAUACCUUAAAGUAUUAAGAGAUGUAUUAUGUGAAAGUGUGGAAAUUAAAUGAUUGGUAGAUUAUGUUAUAUUUCGAGUACAGUGUAGAUGCUCUAAAUGUCAAGUGAAAGGUUAUAUAAUUUAAGUAAAGAAACAAGGAUUUAAAGAAAGAGGAAAGCUUUUGUAAAAGUUUUCAAAAAGUUAAGUUGGUUCUUGUUAAUAUCAGGUUUAGGCUUGAUAUUAGCAUGCCGGUCAUGGUCACAAAUCCGGGUAUCGGAUUUGGGGCGUGACAAUAACCAUCAAUUGAAAGUUUGAAACAAUCUGGAUGUCCUCUUUAGAUGAAUUUUCUUUCAUGAUGACAUGGUUGAUGAUGUCAAUCUUGUUUAAAUGUAUCAUAAUACAUCUAAAAACAAAACAUAAAAUAUGUUAUGAAAAGAUCAUCAUGUGACCUUAACAUUUAAACUAAGGUAAAAUAUCAUUUUCAUCCCUAAACUAUUACAAAAGCUCGUUUUUCAUCCUUAAAAUUUCAAAAGUUUUAUUUUCAUCCCUAAACUUUUCCAAACGUAAUGAUUUUCAUCCCUCCGUCUAUUUCUGUUAACUUAUGUCUUAUGUGGCCUGACAGAGUGUUGAUGUGAUAUCUAACUUGGAUUAAAAUUAUUUUAUUUAAAAAAAUAUGAAUACGUGGCAAAUAAUUAUAGUGCACGUGGGUAUCAUUUUUUAAAAGCCCAAAAUUACCCCCCUCACUCUCUCAGUUAACCCUCACUCUCCAUUUGUGUAUCACUAAUUCUUCAUUCAUGAAACCCUAAUGCCCAAGCCCCUCAACCCACUAUAACAACCCAAUCGGUGACCAGAAUCAACUAGUCCAAACCGGCCAAAGAUCCAAGCUAAUUAGCCUCCCUUUGCUGACAUUGAGGAGAUGAAAUAGAGUUUAGAACUCCGCCAUGAAGUUGCUAUUGAAAUCAAAGCGUACUAACUUAUAAGGAUGGAUGAAGACUUUCAAUUCACCAUAUGUCUUCAUUAUGGUGGGAAAUUUAAGAAUAAUCCAUUCAAGUAUGAUGGGAAAGAUAAAGAAGCUUGAAGAUUACAACCACAACCACAGGCUAGAGGCAACGCUGGAGUGUCACUAGAGACAAUGGUUGCAGCAAGUCAGGGAUGUAGAUCUAGGUUCUAGUAGUAUUUUAGAACAUAGUAGUGGGGGAUAAGAUGACCUAAAUACUAUCCAUUUUGUGUAUGCAAUGCCAUACAAAUUUGUAAUGUAGUGGAAAUAACUUCUUCUUCUUUUUUUUUUUUCUUUUUUUUUUUUUUUUUUUUUUUUUUUUUUAUGGUUGUAUGAUUAAUCAUGGAUACUACCCAUUUUGUGUAUGCAAUGCCAUACGAAUAUUUAAAAUUUUUAAUGUAGUGGCAAUAACUUAUUGUUU
This is a long non-coding RNA of Quercus robur (English oak), 3168 nucleotides long. RefSeq lists it as uncharacterized. NCBI's taxonomy places the organism in Eukaryota, Viridiplantae, Streptophyta, Magnoliopsida, Fagales, Fagaceae. The record is from RefSeq and is a predicted model, not a curated record. The transcript has 3 exons.